CAACCUCAACUCAUAUGGGACUACCCCCUGAAUUUAAGCAUAUUAAUUAGGGGAGGAAAAGAAACUAACAAGGAUUUUCUUAGUAGCGGCGAGCGAAAAGAAAUCAGUUCAGCACUAAGUCACUUUGUCUAUAUGGCAAAUGUGAGAUGCAGUGUACGGAACAUCAACAUUCUAGUAUGAGAAGUUAACGAUUUAAGUCCUUCUUAAAUGAGGCCAUUUACCCAUAGAGGGGGCCCCGCCCCCAUCACUAUAAAAAAUUCCAAAUUUGGGUUCCCACAAAUUUCGUGUUUGUUUUAAUUGCCCCCACAAAGGGGGGGGGGAAACCC
Molecule: non-coding RNA, 326 nt
Filed under: Drosophila virilis
Lineage: Eukaryota; Metazoa; Arthropoda; Insecta; Diptera; Drosophilidae
Description: Eukaryotic large subunit ribosomal RNA
Rfam family: Eukaryotic large subunit ribosomal RNA
Source: Rfam by way of RNAcentral